This 86-nucleotide transfer RNA is filed under the name Phialocephala subalpina. RNAcentral's name for it is "tRNA-Ser". It matches the Rfam family "tRNA". Rfam says of the family: Transfer RNA (tRNA) molecules are approximately 80 nucleotides in length. Their secondary structure includes four short double-helical elements and three loops (D, anti-codon, and T loops). Lineage: Eukaryota; Fungi; Ascomycota; Leotiomycetes; Helotiales; Mollisiaceae. The record is from RNAcentral.
AGAGAGUUGGCUGAGUGGUUUAAAGCGAUUAGCUUGAAACUAAUUAAAAUUAAAAGUUUUCAGGGGUUCAAAUCCCCUACUCUCUG